CUGGCUCAGGAUGAACGCUGGCGGCGUGCUUAAUACAUGCAAGUCGAACGAAGAGCUUUGUAGCAAUACGAGGGCUCUUAGUGGCGAACGGGUGCGUAACGCGUUGGUGACCUGCCCCCAAAGUGUGGAAUAACAGUUCGAAAGGACUGCUAAUACCGCAUGUGAUCUUCGGUUUUAGAAUCCGAUGAUUAAAGCAGUAAUGCGCUUUGGGAGGGACCUGCGUCCCAUCAGCUAGUUGGUGAGGUAACGGCCCACCAAGGCUACGACGGGUAGGGAACCUGAGAGGGUGGCUCCCCACACUGGCACUGAAACACGGGCCAGACACCUACGGGUGGCAGCAGUAGGGAAUAUUGGGCAAUGGGCGAAAGCCUGACCCAGCAAACCGCCGCGUGCACGAUGAAGGUCUUCGGAUCGUAAAGUGCUUUUCUGAGAGAUGAGAAAGGACAGUAUCUCAGGAAUAAGUCUCGGCUAACUACGUGCCAGCCGCCGC
RNAcentral lists this ribosomal RNA (490 nucleotides) under uncultured bacterium. RNAcentral describes it as "bacterial SSU rRNA". It matches the Rfam family "Bacterial small subunit ribosomal RNA", at positions 19 to 518 of the family's 1533-position model. The record is from RNAcentral.